This is a long non-coding RNA of Engraulis encrasicolus (European anchovy), 204 nucleotides long. RefSeq lists it as uncharacterized. The transcript is spliced from 3 exons. Lineage: Eukaryota; Metazoa; Chordata; Actinopteri; Clupeiformes; Engraulidae. The record is from RefSeq and is a predicted model, not a curated record.
GCCAAGUUGUUGACAAUUUGCUUCCACGGUGAAAUUGUUCUCUCUUUGUCCUUAUUGGUGUCGCAGAGGAAAAGAAAGUAUUUCAACGGAGUGCAUGGGACGUGAUGCAGCUCAACACAGAUUGUAAUGGAGGACGAUGCUAAGGAGAGGAUGAUGGAACAUGCUGACAGUCACGGUGUGCGGCCUCACCAUGGAAAAUUACAU